CCUACGGGCGGCAGCAGUGGGGAAUAUUGGGCAAUGGACGCAAGUCUGACCCAGCAACGCCGCGUGAAGGAAGAAGGCUUUCGGGUUGUAAACUUCUUUUAAGUGGGGAGAGCAGAAGACGGUGCCCCUUGAAUAAGCCACGUCUAACUACGUGCCAGCAGCCGCGGUAAUACGUAGGUGGCAAGCGUUGUCCGGAUUUACUGGGUGUAAAGGGCGUGCAGCCGGAGAGACAAGUCAGUUGUGAAAUCCACGGGCUCAACCCGUGAACUGCAUUUGAAACUGUUGCCCUUGAGUGUCGGCGGGGUAACCGGAAUUCAUGGUGUAGCGGUGAAAUGCGUAGAUAUCAGGAAGAACACCAGUGGCGAAGGUGGAUUACCGGACGAUAACUGACGGUGAGGCGCGAAAGCGUGGGGAGCAAACAGGAUUAGAUACCCCUGUAGUC
Molecule: ribosomal RNA, 442 nt
Filed under: uncultured bacterium
Lineage: Bacteria
Description: partial 16S ribosomal RNA
Rfam family: Bacterial small subunit ribosomal RNA
Source: RNAcentral